UUGUUUUAGUAGCACAUAUAUAGAAAAAGGAAGAGUACAUGGAAAAUUAGCAUGGCCACCAUCCAAGGAUGAUACACUGAUUCAUGAAGGAUCACCUUUGUUU
Molecule: small nuclear RNA, 103 nt
Organism: Hemiscyllium ocellatum (epaulette shark)
Lineage: Eukaryota; Metazoa; Chordata; Chondrichthyes; Orectolobiformes; Hemiscylliidae
Source: RefSeq, a predicted model, not a curated record